This 2923-nucleotide ribosomal RNA is filed under the name Klebsiella pneumoniae. RNAcentral describes it as "23S ribosomal RNA". It matches the Rfam family "Bacterial large subunit ribosomal RNA". Lineage: Bacteria; Pseudomonadati; Pseudomonadota; Gammaproteobacteria; Enterobacterales; Enterobacteriaceae. The record is from RNAcentral.
GGGUUGUGAGGUUAAGCGACUAAGCGUACACGGUGGAUGCCCUGGCAGUCAGAGGCGAUGAAGGACGUGCUAAUCUGCGAAAAGCGUCGGUAAGGUGAUAUGAACCGUUAUAACCGGCGAUGUCCGAAUGGGGAAACCCAGUGCAAUUCGUUGCACUAUCGUUAACUGAAUACAUAGGUUAACGAGGCGAACCGGGGGAACUGAAACAUCUAAGUACCCCGAGGAAAAGAAAUCAACCGAGAUUCCCCCAGUAGCGGCGAGCGAACGGGGAGCAGCCCAGAGUCUGAAUCAGCUUGUGUGUUAGUGGAACGGUCUGGAAAGUCCGACGGUACAGGGUGAUAGUCCCGUACACCAAAAUGCACAGGCUGUGAACUCGAAGAGUAGGGCGGGACACGUGGUAUCCUGUCUGAAUAUGGGGGGACCAUCCUCCAAGGCUAAAUACUCCUGACUGACCGAUAGUGAACCAGUACCGUGAGGGAAAGGCGAAAAGAACCCCGGCGAGGGGAGUGAAAAAGAACCUGAAACCGUGUACGUACAAGCAGUGGGAGCACCUUCGGGUGUGACUGCGUACCUUUUGUAUAAUGGGUCAGCGACUUAUAUUCUGUAGCAAGGUUAACCGUAUAGGGGAGCCGCAGGGAAACCGAGUCUUAACUGGGCGUUAAGUUGCAGGGUAUAGACCCGAAACCCGGUGAUCUAGCCAUGGGCAGGUUGAAGGUUGGGUAACACUAACUGGAGGACCGAACCGACUAAUGUUGAAAAAUUAGCGGAUGACUUGUGGCUGGGGGUGAAAGGCCAAUCAAACCGGGAGAUAGCUGGUUCUCCCCGAAAGCUAUUUAGGUAGCGCCUCGUGAAUUCAUCUUCGGGGGUAGAGCACUGUUUCGGCUAGGGGGUCAUCCCGACUUACCAACCCGAUGCAAACUACGAAUACCGAAGAAUGUUAUCACGGGAGACACACGGCGGGUGCUAACGUCCGUCGUGAAGAGGGAAACAACCCAGACCGCCAGCUAAGGUCCCAAAGUCAUGGUUAAGUGGGAAACGAUGUGGGAAGGCACAGACAGCCAGGAUGUUGGCUUAGAAGCAGCCAUCAUUUAAAGAAAGCGUAAUAGCUCACUGGUCGAGUCGGCCUGCGCGGAAGAUGUAACGGGGCUAAACCAUGCACCGAAGCUGCGGCAGCGACACUAUGUGUUGUUGGGUAGGGGAGCGUUCUGUAAGCCUGCGAAGGUGUGCUGUGAGGCAUGCUGGAGGUAUCAGAAGUGCGAAUGCUGACAUAAGUAACGAUAAAGCGGGUGAAAAGCCCGCUCGCCGGAAGACCAAGGGUUCCUGUCCAACGUUAAUCGGGGCAGGGUGAGUCGACCCCUAAGGCGAGGCCGAAAGGCGUAGUCGAUGGGAAACAGGUUAAUAUUCCUGUACUUGGUGUUACUGCGAAGGGGGGACGGAGAAGGCUAUGUUAGCCGGGCGACGGUUGUCCCGGUUUAAGCAUGUAGGCUGAUUGUCCAGGCAAAUCCGGAUAAUCAAGGCUGAGGUGUGAUGACGAGGCACUACGGUGCUGAAGUAACAAAUGCCCUGCUUCCAGGAAAAGCCUCUAAGCAUCAGGUAACAUCAAAUCGUACCCCAAACCGACACAGGUGGUCAGGUAGAGAAUACCAAGGCGCUUGAGAGAACUCGGGUGAAGGAACUAGGCAAAAUGGUGCCGUAACUUCGGGAGAAGGCACGCUGGUGUGUAGGUGAAGCCCCUGCGGGUGGAGCUGAGACCAGUCGAAGAUACCAGCUGGCUGCAACUGUUUAUUAAAAACACAGCACUGUGCAAACACGAAAGUGGACGUAUACGGUGUGACGCCUGCCCGGUGCCGGAAGGUUAAUUGAUGGGGUUAUCCGUAAGGAGAAGCUCUUGAUCGAAGCCCCGGUAAACGGCGGCCGUAACUAUAACGGUCCUAAGGUAGCGAAAUUCCUUGUCGGGUAAGUUCCGACCUGCACGAAUGGCGUAAUGAUGGCCAGGCUGUCUCCACCCGAGACUCAGUGAAAUUGAACUCGCUGUGAAGAUGCAGUGUACCCGCGGCAAGACGGAAAGACCCCGUGAACCUUUACUAUAGCUUGACACUGAACAUUGAGCCUUGAUGUGUAGGAUAGGUGGGAGGCUUUGAAGCGUGGACGCCAGUCUGCGUGGAGCCAACCUUGAAAUACCACCCUUUAAUGUUUGAUGUUCUAACGUUGGCCCCUUACCGGGGUUGCGGACAGUGUCUGGUGGGUAGUUUGACUGGGGCGGUCUCCUCCCAAAGCGUAACGGAGGAGCACGAAGGUUAGCUAAUCCUGGUCGGACAUCAGGAGGUUAGUGCAAUGGCAUAAGCUAGCUUGACUGCGAGCGUGACGGCGCGAGCAGGUGCGAAAGCAGGUCAUAGUGAUCCGGUGGUUCUGAAUGGAAGGGCCAUCGCUCAACGGAUAAAAGGUACUCCGGGGAUAACAGGCUGAUACCGCCCAAGAGUUCAUAUCGACGGCGGUGUUUGGCACCUCGAUGUCGGCUCAUCACAUCCUGGGGCUGAAGUAGGUCCCAAGGGUAUGGCUGUUCGCCAUUUAAAGUGGUACGCGAGCUGGGUUUAGAACGUCGUGAGACAGUUCGGUCCCUAUCUGCCGUGGGCGCUGGAGAAUUGAGGGGGGCUGCUCCUAGUACGAGAGGACCGGAGUGGACGCAUCACUGGUGUUCGGGUUGUCAUGCCAAUGGCACUGCCCGGUAGCUAAAUGCGGAAGAGAUAAGUGCUGAAAGCAUCUAAGCACGAAACUUGCCCCGAGAUGAGUUCUCCCUGAGACUAUAAGUCUCCUGAAGGAACGUUAAAGACGAUGACGUUGAUAGGCCGGGUGUGUAAGCGCAGCGAUGCGUUGAGCUAACCGGUACUAAUGAACCGUGAGGCUUAACCUUACAACGCCGAAG